RNAcentral lists this ribosomal RNA (207 nucleotides) under uncultured bacterium. RNAcentral's name for it is "partial 16S ribosomal RNA". It matches the Rfam family "Bacterial small subunit ribosomal RNA", at positions 568 to 774 of the family's 1533-position model. The record is from RNAcentral.
UGCGUAGGUGGUCGGGUAAGUCUGAUGUGAAAUCUCCGAGCUUAACUCGGAAACUGCAUCGGAUACUAUUCGGCUGGAGGGUUGGGAGGGGGGACUGGAAUACUUGGUGUAGCAGUGAAAUGCGUAGAUAUCAAGUGGAACACCAGUGGCGAAGGCGAGUCCCUGGACAACUCCUGACACUGAGGCACGAAAGCUAGGGAGCAAACA